GUAUGCAACCUACCUUAAUCAGGGGGAUAGCCUCUCGAAAGAGAGAUUAACACCGCAUAACAUCAUUUUACGGCAUCGUAGAAUGAUCAAAUAUUUAUAGGAUUAAGAUGGGCAUGCGUGACAUUAGCUAGUUGGUGAGGUAAUGGCUCACCAAGGCUACGAUGUCUAGGGGAUCUGAGAGGAUGACCCCCCACACUGGUACUGAGACACGGACCAGACUCCUACGGGAGGCAGCAGUAAGGAAUAUUGGUCAAUGGAGGCAACUCUGAACCAGCCAUGCCGCGUGCAGGAUGACGGCCCUAUGGGUUGUAAACUGCUUUUAUACGGGAAUAAACCUCUCUACGUGUAGGGAGUUGAAUGUACUGUAAGAAUAAGGAUCGGCUAACUCCGUGCCAGCAGCCGCGGUAAUACGGAGGAUCCAAGCGUUAUCCGGAUUUAUUGGGUUUAAAGGGUGCGUAGGCGGCCUAUUAAGUCAGGGGUGAAAGACGGUGGCUCAACCAUCGCAGUGCCCUUGAUACUGAUGGGCUUGAUUACACUUGAGGUAGGCGGAAUGUGACAAGUAGCGGUGAAAUGCAUAGAUAUGUCACAGAACACCAAUUGCGAAGGCAGCUUACUAAGGUGUCAAUGACGCUGAGGCACGAAAGCGUGGGGGAUCAAACAGGAUUAGAUACCCUGGUAGUCCACGCCCUAAACGAUGAAUACUCGAUGUUAGCGAUAUAC
Molecule: ribosomal RNA, 720 nt
Filed under: uncultured bacterium
Lineage: Bacteria
Description: bacterial SSU rRNA
Rfam family: Bacterial small subunit ribosomal RNA
Source: RNAcentral